This 435-nucleotide ribosomal RNA is filed under the name uncultured bacterium. Its description in RNAcentral is "partial 16S ribosomal RNA". It matches the Rfam family "Bacterial small subunit ribosomal RNA", at positions 29 to 507 of the family's 1533-position model. The record is from RNAcentral.
AGCGAACGCUGGCGGCAGGCUUAACACAUGCAAGUCGAGCGGGCACUUUCGGGUGUCAGCGGCGGACGGGUGCGUAACGCGUGGGAACGUGCCCUCUGGUUCGGAAUAACUCAGGGAAACUUGAGCUAAUACCGGAUACGCCCUUUUGGGGAAAGGCUUGCUGCCGGAGGAUCGGCCCGCGUCUGAUUAGCUAGUUGGUGAGGUAACGGCUCACCAAGGCGACGAUCAGUAGCUGGACUGAGAGGAUGAUAAGCCACACUGGGACUGAGACACGGCCCAGACUCCUACGGGAGGCAGCAGUGGGGAAUAUUGGACAAUGGGGGCAAGCCUGAUCCAGCCAUGCCGCGUGAGUGAUGAAGGCCUUAGGGUUGUAAAGCUCUUUUAUCCGGGACGAUAAUGACGGUACCGGAGGAAUAAGCCCCGGCUAACUUCGUG